Long non-coding RNA from Oreochromis aureus, 712 nucleotides. RefSeq lists it as uncharacterized. The transcript is spliced from 2 exons. Lineage: Eukaryota; Metazoa; Chordata; Actinopteri; Cichliformes; Cichlidae. The record is from RefSeq and is a predicted model, not a curated record.
GCUGGCGAGGCGCCGUGGGUAGGUCUACCGCGGCGAGGACGCCCAACCUUCGGAAUAUAAUAUAGAGCAUUCUUCAGCGAGGGAAGUUUACCGGAGGCUGAACACUGAGCGAGGAUCUUGGCGUUCUCGGCUCAGGUGUGGACCGAGGGAAGUUUUGCUUCAGCUUGUGACGAAACGGAUCAGAAGUUUCUGGCACCACAUCGUAGAUCCUUCCACGGAGACGAGCAUUAGAUCUAACAAUGGUGAUGAUGAUCCUGAUGAAGGCCACAAGCCAAAAUGUGUCAGUGGAGCAGUGAAGUUUUCUGAAUCAUUCAAAUGUUCUUCGAGAUCCAACUUUCUAUUUCCUUAUUGCUUCAGGACUCUGUGUGGUGAUUUCACUGACAGCUUAUUUAUUAAUAAGUAAUUAUUUAUAUUAUUGUUGAAAACAACUCCAAGAGGUAAUUUAGUUUUAUAGAAGAGAGCAGUCUCUCUGUCAGGUGAACAUCUACAAGUAUACUAACAAAUUAAAUCUGAAGAUGACAGUCAGUAAUGCAGCCUGAUUUAAAAACAUUAAUAUGGAAAUAAAAGAUUGAAUGAGUGACUGCUGCUGUCUGAACUUGUAAUGUGACUCUUUCCUUACUUGUUUAAAAUGUCUGAAUGAUUAGUCAUUACUGCUUUUCUUAAAAUCUCAACACAGAAGAAGAAUAAAAAUGAAAUGAUGUGAAAUUAGUCA